AAAGAAGAAACCAAGUACCUGAAAACAAACAGCACAUGUAAUGAUCAUUCAACCUAUAACACAUUAAAUAAUCGAGACCUAUAUCAUGCAAAUAUUUAUAUUAUUGGCAGACAUUAGCACAUGCACUUAUAGAUAAUAUCAUUCCUAAGCUAGCUUGUCGAAAAUAUUAAAAUGAUUGGACGUCAGAACAGAAAAUAAGGUAUCCUCUGUGGUUUUUUGUAUGACACAUAGAAGUGAAGAUAUCCUGCUGGUCAGUACACAUGAUUUUAUUCUAAAAAGCAAAAGUCCAACUUACAGAAAAAUUUAUGCAGAAACUAGAAGUGGAAUUUCAUGUAAGAAUAAAAUUGGACUAAAUAAACAACUUUCAGCAAAUAGGCUUUGUUGUAUG
This 388-nucleotide unclassified non-coding RNA is filed under the name Hevea brasiliensis (rubber tree). Lineage: Eukaryota; Viridiplantae; Streptophyta; Magnoliopsida; Malpighiales; Euphorbiaceae. The record is from RNAcentral.